CCUAGCAUUGCCUACAGCACAACCACCAACACAUUCAGCCCCAGGAUAUGUGGCCAAUUCGCAAGAAUUAGCCGACAAAGAACACACGAACAAUUCCGGUUCGGUUUGCCCGUGUUUUUACACGCCUAAAUUUUUACUUCAAUAUACAUACAAUUUUUUUCCUCCCAAACUUUCCUUUCACACUUCAAUUCAAUGCCAAUCACCCACUUUCAAAUUCGCAGAUCCAUUUGAAAUCCCUUUCUUCAAUUUCCACCAUCCGGUUUUCGCACUUGUUAUCUGCUUCCAUCUCCCUCAGGAACAAUCGGGUCCGGUGCUUUCUUCCAUUUGGCUUUGGUUCACAUCAAGAUGGAGAUUUCGGAAGUGAAGAAUGCAGAUUGUUCGCAAUGCAUGCGAGUCGCAGUUAACAUCCAGCCUUUGAUUACGUCCGAGCUCCUACUCGGCUAUACGGAUUGCAUUUCCGUCGUUCCCAACGAACCUUGGGUGCAAAUCGGGUCCCAUUCAUUCACCUAUGAUUAUGUUUAUGGCGGCAUGGGCUCGCCUUGUUCUGCUCUCUAUAAUGAUUGUGUUGCUCCUCUUGUUGAUGCGCUAUUCCAUGGAUACAAUGUCACAAUUCUUGCAUAUGGCCAGGUUUAACUUCUAUAUAUCUAGCAUUUUUGGCCUUUUGUUCCUUUUGUUUGGUUAAAGAGUCGCAGCACUCAUUCAUUUUUCGUUACACCUCGAUAUACAUAUUGACUUUAUUAUUUUGUUUGUUAUUUAAGAUGGGAUCUGGGAAAAUGUACACGAUGGGGACUAACUAUACAGGGGAAGAAAGUAAUGGUGGAAUUAUACCUAAAGCAAUGGAAAGUAUAUUCCGAAGCGUUGAGGCGAUGAAAGAUUCCACGAAAUUUUUUAUCAAAGUAUCAUUCAUUGAGGUAGCAGAUGAUUUUGG
Juglans microcarpa x Juglans regia is the source of this 928-nucleotide long non-coding RNA. RefSeq lists it as uncharacterized. Lineage: Eukaryota; Viridiplantae; Streptophyta; Magnoliopsida; Fagales; Juglandaceae. The transcript is spliced from 3 exons. The record is from RefSeq and is a predicted model, not a curated record.